AGUGAACGCUGGCGGCAUGCCUAACACAUGCAAGUCGAACGAACACACGAUAAGCUUUUUCCUCUACCGGUAGCGGGGGACGGGUGAGUAACGCGUACAUCACCUUCCUCUAUUACGGGGGUGACUUCGUGAAACCAGUUCCAAUACUACCUCAUACAUUCUACCGCAUAGAUCAGGAGUUCUUGGCGCCUUUCCUGUCUCUAUGAGACGAUUCCGCGCCGGAUUAGCUAGUUGGUAAGGUAACGGCUUACCAAGGCAACGAUGCGUAGCCGACCUGAGAGGGUGAUCGGCCACACUGGAACUGAGACACGGUCCAGACUCCUACGGGAGGCAGCAGUAGGGAAUAUUCCGCAAUGGGCGAAAGCUUGACGGAGCAAUGCCGCGUGAGUGAUGAAGGUCUUCGGAUCGUAAAACUCUGUUAUUGGGGAAGAACAAAUGUGUAUGAAACUACGGCCGUUCUGACGGUACCUAAAGAGAAAGCAACGGCUAACUACGUG
RNAcentral lists this ribosomal RNA (497 nucleotides) under uncultured bacterium. RNAcentral's name for it is "partial 16S ribosomal RNA". It matches the Rfam family "Bacterial small subunit ribosomal RNA", at positions 29 to 507 of the family's 1533-position model. The record is from RNAcentral.